This 248-nucleotide unclassified non-coding RNA is filed under the name Hevea brasiliensis (rubber tree). The record is from RNAcentral. Lineage: Eukaryota; Viridiplantae; Streptophyta; Magnoliopsida; Malpighiales; Euphorbiaceae.
AGUGCGAGCUAAUGGUGAACAAGGUAAUCCCAUUUCAUGUUUAUAAUCUCAAUUUAGUAUAUUUGUUUCGUCUUUCUUCGUUUCAAGCCAUUUAUGUGAUUCUUAUUGUUACUUGCUAAGAUUUGGAGUAUUUUUCCAAAAAAUUUUAAUUUUUCUUGGAAAAUUUCUUGUAAUGUCUCAACACUUAGCUUGCUGCUGAGUAAACAUUAUGGUAAUGUCUCAACACUUGGCUCGCUGUUGAGUAAAAA